RNAcentral lists this ribosomal RNA (392 nucleotides) under uncultured bacterium. Its description in RNAcentral is "bacterial SSU rRNA". It matches the Rfam family "Bacterial small subunit ribosomal RNA", at positions 28 to 417 of the family's 1533-position model. The record is from RNAcentral.
GACGAACGCUGGCGGCGUGCUUAACACAUGCAAGUCGAAGCCGGUUAAGGGCCCUUUCGGGGGUACACGAGCGGCGAACGGGUGAGUAACACGUGGGUGACCUGCCCUCAGCUCUGGGAUAAGCCUGGGAAACCGGGUCUAAUACCGGAUAUGACUCCAUGACGCAUGUUGUGGGGUGGAAAGCCUUGUGCGGCUGAGGAUGGGCCCGCGGCCUAUCAGCUUGUUGGUGGGGUGAUGGCCUACCAAGGCGACGACGGGUAGCCGGCCUGAGAGGGCGACCGGCCACACUGGGACUGAGACACGGCCCAGACUCCUACGGGAGGCAGCAGUGGGGAAUCUUGCGCAAUGGGCGAAAGCCUGACGCAGCGACGCCGCGUGAGGGAUGACGGCCU